Molecule: long non-coding RNA, 1345 nt
Filed under: Homo sapiens (human)
Lineage: Eukaryota; Metazoa; Chordata; Mammalia; Primates; Hominidae
Description: HSALNT0196450
Source: RNAcentral
UGGAAGUCGGUCCAGGAGCUUUUUGGAUAAUCCACCUCAUGACUGGAAAACAACGAAGAAACCCAGUAGCUUCUUCGCCGUGUGGAUUCAGACCCCGGGAGCCCAGGCCUGCACCUGGGCAGCUGCUCCCUGCACGUGGCCGGACAUAUGGAAUAUGGAGCCCCGCUGCCUUGGAGUCAGAGAGCUGCCAAGUAGAAUUUGCAUGGCCUCUGUCGUCAAGCCCUUCAGCUUCUAGUGCUCACUCUUUCAUGAGGAGAUGAAAUUGAGAUGGACUUGCCUUGCUCUUGGUGCAGAGCUGUGAUUACAGAGUUGAUGAGAAAGCUGUUCCAACUGUGCAUGGAGAUGCAUUCCGUGGUCAAUCUGCACAUGGCUGUCAGGAACUAGCUGGAGUCAGCAGGAGAGAGAGCAAUGCCUUGUUCAUCCAUCCAGGUGGGGCUCCGAGAGCUUCCAAACCAAUGGAUAAGAAGGAGGAGCCACAGAGGCUAGAAAAGACUGCCGACCACAGUUUGUCCCAUGUAGAACUUUCUGGAACAUUCAGCUGCAGAAAGUGAAUGGGCUCAAAGCUUUCUGUCUCCUUCUGAACAGGCUGUCUAUAAAAACAAAGGAAGCCUGGCUGCCUGGGAGACAGUUCUUGAUGGUUUCAAGACAAGCUGCAGUGUCUCUCUUGGCUGCAGGAUGGGAUGGUUGCCAUGAGUGAGGAGCACAGUUCACCUAAGGCUGCCCUUGUCAGGAGCGGGGAAAGGUGAGGAUGAAAAAUCUCUUAUGAGAGCCCAAAUCCACGUGUGUGCAUAGCUCAUGGAGAGCAUAACAUCUCAAUCAAAUUGUUUGCCGACAACAUUUAUUUCAGCUAAAUGAUACUUCAGAGAGGCCAUCCUUCUUCAUAUUCUCUGAAUCAAUCCAUUAACACAGCAUAAGGCAUCCAGGAAAUAAUGGCUGCAAACAAGCCUGGGAGCCAGAAAGAACGGCUUUGGUGGGUGUACUGGUGUGGAGGGAGCCAAGACCAGUAAGAAGCCUAAGGUCACAGAGUCUGCACCAGGAUCUCGGUGGUGGGAGUAACAGAGAAGAGCUGGGUCUAAAAGAUGUCAAGGAAUGAAAGUCCAUGGGAUUUAAGCAUGUGACCUCACAUGAGUUACUUAACUGCUCUUUUUUUUUCCCAUUUGUAAAGUGGGAUGUGGGAGGCAGAAUAAUGUCCCCCCACAUAGGUCCAUGUCCUUAUCCACAGAAACUGUGAAUACGUUAGGUUACCCAGUAAAGUGUUGGAUAAAGGAACCGUUUACCUAAGUGACUUUGGAAGUAGGAACAUGUGACCCAGUUGCAGCCAAUGAGAUGUCAGGAGAAGUUGGCU